GAUGAACGCUGGCGGCGUGCCUAAUACAUGCAAGUCGAGCGAACGGACGAGAAGCUUGCUUUUCUGAUGUUAGCGGCGGACGGGUGAGUAACACGUGGAUAACCUACCUAUAAGACUGGGAUAACUUCGGGAAACCGGAGCUAAUACCGGAUAAUAUUUUGAACCGCAUGGUUCAAAAGUGAAAGACGGUCUUGCUGUCACUUAUAGAUGGAUCCGCGCUGCAUUAGCUAGUUGGUAAGGUAACGGCUUACCAAGGCAACGAUGCAUAGCCGACCUGAGAGGGUGAUCGGCCACACUGGAACUGAGACACGGUCCAGACCCCUACGGGAGGCAGCAGUAGGGAAUCUUCCGCAAUGGGCGAAAGCCUGACGGAGCAACGCCGCGUGAGUGAUGAAGGUCUUCGGAUCGUAAAACUCUGUUAUUAGGGAAGAACAUAUGUGGAAGUAACUGUGCACAUCUUGACGGUACCUAAUCAGAAAGCCACGGCUAACUACGUG
Molecule: ribosomal RNA, 497 nt
Filed under: uncultured bacterium
Lineage: Bacteria
Description: partial 16S ribosomal RNA
Rfam family: Bacterial small subunit ribosomal RNA
Source: RNAcentral